CCUACGGGUGGCAGCAGUGGGGAAUAUUGCACAAUGGGGGGAACCCUGAUGCAGCGACGCCGCGUGAGUGAAGAAGUAUUUCGGUAUGUAAAGCUCUAUCAGCAGGGAAGAAAAUGACGGUACCUGACUAAGAAGCCCCGGCUAACUACGUGCCAGCAGCCGCGGUACUACGUAGGGGGCAAGCGUUAUCCGGAUUUACUGGGUGUAAAGGGAGCGCAGACGGCUGUGCAAGUCUGGAGUGAAAGGCGGGGGCCCAACCCCCGGACUGCUCUGGAAACUGUAAAGCUGGAGUGCAGGAGAGGUAAGCGGAAUUCCUAGUGUAGCGGUGAAAUGCGUAGAUAUUAGGAGGAACACCAGUGGCGAAGGCGGCUUACUGGACUGCAACUGACGUUGAGGCUCGAAAGCGUGGGGAGCAAACAGGAUUAGAUACCCGGGUAGUC
This 440-nucleotide ribosomal RNA is filed under the name uncultured bacterium. RNAcentral's name for it is "partial 16S ribosomal RNA". It matches the Rfam family "Bacterial small subunit ribosomal RNA", at positions 338 to 795 of the family's 1533-position model. The record is from RNAcentral.